This 467-nucleotide ribosomal RNA is filed under the name uncultured bacterium. Its description in RNAcentral is "partial 16S ribosomal RNA". It matches the Rfam family "Bacterial small subunit ribosomal RNA", at positions 28 to 507 of the family's 1533-position model. The record is from RNAcentral.
GAUGAACGCUGGCGGCGUGCUUAACACAUGCAAGUCGAACGAUGAUGCCCAGCUUGCUGGGUGGAUUAGUGGCGAACGGGUGAGUAACACGUGAGUAACCUGCCCUUGACUCUGGGAUAAGCCUGGGAAACUGGGUCUAAUACCUGCUACGACCAUCUGGCGCAUGUCAUGGUGGUGGAUAGAUUGUGUGGUUUUGGAUGGACUCGCGGCCUAUCAGCUUGUUGGUGGGGUAAUGGCCUACCAAGGCGACGACGGGUAGCCGGCCUGAGAGGGUGACCGGCCACACUGGGACUGAGACACGGCCCAGACUCCUACGGGAGGCAGCAGUGGGGAAUAUUGCACAAUGGGCGCAAGCCUGAUGCAGCGACGCCGCGUGAGGGAUGACGGCCUUCGGGGUGUAAACCUCUGUCAGUAGGGAAGAAGCGAAAGUGACGGUACCUACAGAAGAAGCGCCGGCUAACUACGUG